GAUGAACGCUGGCGGCGUGCCUAAUACAUGCAAGUCGAGCGCUGAAGGUUGGUUCUUGUUCCGACUGGAUGAGCAGCGAACGGGUGAGUAACGCGUGGGGAACCUGCCUUUGAGCGUGGGACGACAUUUGGAAACGAAUGCUAAUACCGCAUAAAAACUUUAAACACAAGUUUCAAGAUUGAAAGAUGCAAUUGCAUCACCCAAAGAUGAUCCCGCGUUGUAUUAGGUAGUUGGUGAGGUAAAGGCUCACCAAGGGGAUGAUACAUAGCCGACCUGAGAGGGGGAGCGGCCACAUAGGGACUGUGACACGGGCCCAACUCCUACAGGAGGGAGAAGUAGGGAGUCUUCGGCAAUGGGCGAAAGUCUGACCGCGCAACGCCGCGUGAGUGAAGAGAGGUUUCGGAGCGUAAAAAUCUGUUUGUAGAGAAGAACAAUGGUGAGAGUGGAAAGCUCAUCAAGUGGCGGGAACUACCCAGAAAGGGACGGCUAACUACGUG
RNAcentral lists this ribosomal RNA (497 nucleotides) under uncultured bacterium. RNAcentral describes it as "partial 16S ribosomal RNA". It matches the Rfam family "Bacterial small subunit ribosomal RNA", at positions 28 to 507 of the family's 1533-position model. The record is from RNAcentral.